This 253-nucleotide ribosomal RNA is filed under the name uncultured bacterium. RNAcentral's name for it is "partial 16S ribosomal RNA". It matches the Rfam family "Bacterial small subunit ribosomal RNA", at positions 524 to 776 of the family's 1533-position model. The record is from RNAcentral.
GACAGGGGUCUCGAGCGUUAAUCGGAAUCACUGGGCUUAAAGGGUGCGUAGGCGGACCCGAACGCGUCCCGUGAAAUCCCCGGGCUCAACCUGGGAAUUGCAUUCGAUACUGGAUAGCUAGAGUUCGGCAGAGGGAAGCGGAAUUUCGGGUGUAGCGGUGAAAUGCGUAGAUAUCCGAAGGAACAUCAGUGGCGAAAGCGGCUUCCUGGACCAGAACUGACGAUCAGGCACGAAAGCGUGGGGAGCAAACAGG